UUGCUCUUUGUUAGCUUGCAAGAGUAAAUUAUUUACCUAACUAAUUAUGUUGUUGAGAGUUAAUUGCGAGUAACAUUUAUAUAUAGUGUUGUACCUUAUCUUUGUUGAUUAAUUACAAUUACAUAUUAAUAAGAUGGUAUUGUAUUCUCUGUCCAUUUUGUAAUAUGGUAUCAGUGCAAGAAAUAUAGGCUUUCUUAUACAAUCCAGUUAACCAGCCAACUGCGUCUGUCUUCUCUGACGAAGCUGCGUCACCUCUGAUCUUCCUCUGCUGCAGUCUUCUUCUUGUUGAAUCUCAAUUGCUUCCUCCUCGUUGAGAUUCUGCAAUGUCUACUGAUAACAACCAAACGAAGCAAGGGACUCAUGGAGAAGCCUCGAUUCAGACCAUUGUUGGUGAUCCACAAAAUUCUUCUCUUCAAAUCUCGACUUCAAAGAAUCCACCCUUCACCAUGGAGAGAAUCCAGGACAUACCUUGGUUUCUCAACCUCUCACGGGAUAAGACAACUAUGUGUCUUGGAGCAAGGCCAUGGAACUCGCCAUCUCAGUCGAGAACAAGAUUGGUUUCUUGGACAAUUCUAUCUCUAAACCCUCACCUUCUAAUCAAGUUCUUUAUAAUGCAUGGAUAUGAAAUAAUAACAUUGUUAUCUCUAGGAUUUUGAAUUCUGUUUCUAAAUAAAUUUCAUCUAGCAUUCUCUAUGAUGAAUUUGCCUCUGCCAUUUGGAAUGACCUUAAGGUUCGGUUCCACUAAAGAAAUGGCCCCCAUAUAUACAACCUGAGAAAAGAUCUUAUGAAUCUUAAACAAGAUAAUCAAACUGUUAGUAUGUACUUUACUAAGCUUAAAACUAUAUGGGAAGAAUUAACUAAUUUCAGACCAUCUUGCACUUGUAAUGGAUGCACAUGUUGUGGAGUUAAGAGACUCUAAGAUCACUAUCACAUGGAACAUAUUAUGUCAUUUCUGAUGGGACUUUCUGAUUCGUAUUCUCAAGUUUGUGGUAGCAUCCUCCUUAUGGAUCCUCGACCAGAAGUGAACCGUGUGUUUCAUCUUGCUACACAAGAAGAACACCAAAGAGGUAUUGUAUCUAACACCAAUAAUUCUAACUCAACUAUGGCUUUUUCCCUUCAAGGGAAUAAGAAUGUAGGACAAAAGAAUGAUAAUCAAAAUUCUAAGACUCAACCUCCCAAAAGGAACAUACCAUUUUGUACUCACUGUAACAUUCUCGGACACACAAUUGAGAGAUGUUACAAAAUACACGUGUAUCCACCUAGUUUCAACAAGAAUAAACCUAAAGAAGCCAAUGCAAAUCAUGUCCAAGCGACUGAUGAAAGUAGUAGCAGUCAACUAGAGAAUCAUGCACUCCUUCCACAACUGACCACAACUCAAUAUUAGUAAUUACUCAACAUGCUUGCAUCUCAGAAGUCUGGUAUGAAUAAUCAGAACCAAGCACCUCAUCAUGUAACACAAGUAUCAUUUUGUCCCAUAAUUCUGAAUCUCCUUUACAUAAUUCUUGGAUCAUGGAUUCUGGAGCAGCAAGACAUAUUUCCUCUAACAUGAGUAUUUUCCAAUGCAUAUGAGAAUGCCAACAAGAGGAUGAUUGGAAGAGGUAGCACUGUCAAUGGUCUCUACAUCCUUGAUACUGCACCAGAUCCUCCCCAAGUUCUAUCUAUCUUAGCAGAAACUUGGCAUUCUCGACUUGGACAUUUGUCCCACAAACGUUUAGAUCUUCUUAAAGAUACUUUGCAUUGUAAUACUUUUGUUUUGCAUAAAAAUAGACCUUGUUACAUUUGUUCUAUUACUAAACAAAAGAAGCUCCCCUUUCAAAUUAAUAACAAAUUGACAGACCACAUUUUUGAUCUUA
This is a long non-coding RNA of Cannabis sativa, 1853 nucleotides long. RefSeq lists it as uncharacterized. The record is from RefSeq and is a predicted model, not a curated record. The transcript has 2 exons. NCBI's taxonomy places the organism in Eukaryota, Viridiplantae, Streptophyta, Magnoliopsida, Rosales, Cannabaceae.